AACGAACGCUGGCGGCGUGCCUAACACAUGCAAGUCGCACGAGAAAGGGGUAGCAAUACUCCGAGUAAAGUGGCGCACGGGUGAGUAACACGUAGGUAACCUGCCUCCGAGACCGGGACAACCUGUCGAAAGACGGGCUAAUACCGGAUAAGACCACGGAAGCUUCGGCUUCAGCGGUCAAAGAUGGCCUCUGCAUGCAAGCUAUCGCUUAGAGAUGGGCCUGCGCACCAUUAGCUAGUUGGUGGGGUAACGGCCUACCAAGGCAAAGAUGGUUAGCUGGUCUGAGAGGAUGAUUAGCCACACUGGAACUGAGACACGGUCCAGACUCCUACGGGAGGCAGCAGUGGGGAAUCUUGCGCAAUGGGCGAAAGCCUGACGCAGCAACGCCGCGUGGGUGAUGAAGGCCUUCGGGUCGUAAAGCCCUGUCGGGAGGAACGAAUGCUUCCGCCACUAAUACUGGCGGAAGGUGACGGUACCUUCAAAGGAAGCACCGGCUAACUCCG
This 503-nucleotide ribosomal RNA is filed under the name uncultured bacterium. RNAcentral's name for it is "bacterial SSU rRNA". It matches the Rfam family "Bacterial small subunit ribosomal RNA", at positions 29 to 505 of the family's 1533-position model. The record is from RNAcentral.